RNAcentral lists this ribosomal RNA (253 nucleotides) under uncultured bacterium. Its description in RNAcentral is "partial 16S ribosomal RNA". It matches the Rfam family "Bacterial small subunit ribosomal RNA", at positions 524 to 776 of the family's 1533-position model. The record is from RNAcentral.
UACAGAGGUCCCAAGCGUUGUUCGGAUUCACUGGGCGUAAAGAGUGUGUAGGCGGUGCUCCAAGUCUGUUGUGAAAUCUCCCGGCUUAACUGGGAGGGUGCGGCGGAAACUGGAGUGCUCGAGUGUGGGAGAGGUAAGCGGAAUUCCUGGUGUAGCGGUGAAAUGCGUAGAUAUCAGGAGGAACACCUGUGGUGUAGACAGCUUACUGGACCACGACUGACGCUGAGACACGAAAGCGUGGGUAGCAAACAGG